This 20-nucleotide unclassified non-coding RNA is filed under the name Mus musculus (house mouse). RNAcentral's name for it is "oocyte_clustered_small_RNA11789". The record is from RNAcentral. Lineage: Eukaryota; Metazoa; Chordata; Mammalia; Rodentia; Muridae.
GGUCUGGCCCAGCUCUCUGU